AUAAACUUGACACGAUCAUAUGCUACGUUUAUAGUUUAGGUCUUGUCCAUCACAUCAUUCUCCCAAUGAUGUGAUCCCGUUAUCAAAUGACAACUCAUGUCUAUUGCUAGAAAACCAUAGCCAUCUUUCCACUAGAGACAUGUUGUUGUCUAUGUAUCCACACAUGUAUUUGAGUUUCCGACCAAUACAAUUAUAACAUGGAUAAUAAACGAUUAUCAUGAACAGGGAAAUAUGAUAAUAAGCAAUUUAUUAUUGCCUCUAGGGCAUAUUUCCAACACCCACAAGCCCUCAGGGCGCGCCCUGGGGGUAGGGUGCGCCGCCUAGCUUGUGGCCUCCUCAGUCACCUCCUGGUCUAGCUCCAGUGCUUCAAGAGUCUCUUUUGGUCCAUAAAAAAACACCGUAAAAUUUCAGCCCAUUCCGAGAACUUUUAUUUCUGCACAAAAAACAACACCACGAUAGCUCUACUGAAACAACGUCAGUCCGGGUUAGUUAUAAUCAAAUCAUACCAAAACCAUAUAGAAUUGUUACAAACAUCGCAUGAAUAUUUCAUAAAUUAUAAAUACGUUAGAGACGUAUUGUAACACCCCAAGCCAACAAAACGCUUGGAAUAUUACCACAAUUACCACAAACAACUUUGGGAAAGUGAACAUGCCCUCGAAGGAAAUUUCGGCAGAGUUUCCUCUAUUUCUAAGGACAUCCACGACAUGCAAUUCAUAUAAUUAUAUAACACAAGGAACAUAACAUAAGUGUAGAGCACCAAGCUACACUACCAUAACCGAGAACACCAGCGAUAACAUAAGACUUAGGAAGAGCUAAGUAAGACACGCAAACGAAAAGGGCAACUUCCAAACUUCAGGACAAACCACCAAGCUUAGCAAAGUAUAAACUAUACUAGGUUCUCAAAACAUGGUCCUAAAGUACAAUAUAUGUGAGUUUCGUGUAGUGAACAGGGUGGUGAUGCUACUCCCAAGACUCCCAUGCAUGCCGUCCUCAGGGUUUACCUAAAAACAUAUAAACAACAAGGAUGAGUACAAAGACUCAGCAAGUACAUACAAGAAUAAUAAGCGUUACACAUGUCAAGAUACCAAAUCUCUACUAAACACCAUACCCUCAUCAGCACCCAACACUAGUAUUCAUGUCCUACAUGCCUACAUGCUCAUCUCAUUUCAUUGCGUAUACCGGUAUCGCUUGAGUGGACGCCCGUCGACAUCCACUCACUCCAACGCAUGGAGGUUGCCUCCAAAGUAGGUCGCAACCCAACAAUGGAGGUCUCAAUGUGCCUACCCAAGGUAGGGACCUCUUUCUUUCACUAUCAUCAUGAGUGCAGAUAUGCAAAUGCAAGCAAAGUACUUGAAUCAACAUGUCUUUGUCAUCGUCAUCUCCAUCAUAAUAAACAUCAUUGACCUGGGCAAAUAUCAUGAUACAAAAAGGGCAGGGGAUAUGCAACGUCAUUAUCCUGUCAUGAACUUGCCUCAACCGCGAGGCACAACUUGUGGGUUAAAGGAUCCUGAACCAGAAGUACCAACACCUGUAAACAGGCAUAUAUCACAACCAAUACAAAAACAUGGACUUAUCAUCUAAACAUAUAUAAUUCAGCUUCGCUCCUACGCAUAAGACCACGGUGCAUAUCGAUCAACAUUGACGAAAUCUGAGAAUAUAUACUUGUUCCUCCACCCAAGUCCAUAUAUUAAAAUUCUGUCCAACAUAGUACAGCCCACCUUGAUAAUUUCAUAGGAUUUAAUAUACCAAACGAAAUCUAAUAAAUGAUAUGUGUUUAAGCAUCUACAGAACAGCCUGUACAAUUGUCAUGUUGUAACUUUAAUUUAAUUCAAUCUGUACCAUAUGAGAAUUCUGCACCCACGAAAAUAUAUUUCCGGACAGAAAACUAAAUUGAUGGCUGCUCUCAAAUCGUACAUCCAAACGAAGCAAAUAAGUACUCUACGGAAACCUUAGAACUUGCUUUACAAAUCAUAUAAAGGGACCAACUCGAAAUUCUGAGCAUAACUAACUCGUUUUUCACCUAGAAGCUGGCUGUCCAGAUCUGACAGUGCAGUUUUUCUGCAGUUUAUGUGCAGUUUUAACCGAACCAAGUUCAGUUUACAGGGAGAGAUACCCAAUGCUCCAGAUUUUUGCUUGGAAGCAAUCAACACCAUGCAACAUCAUAGAUGGGCUAUCCUCCCUAAUUGAUUUGGUUAAUCAAAGGACCAACAUAGGGAAGGUCCAGCCUGGGUGCCAAAACAAAAUAGGUACAAAUAUUGAAUCACCAACAAAAUUGUGAAUUGGUUCAUGAAUCCACCUCCAGUCCUCAAAUCUACUUCUAACAUAUGAGUUGCUGCCCCAAAUCCCUAAUUCUGACCUAGGAAGCACCAUAGAAAAGGAGAACUGGGACGUACCGCUAGCAACAACGACGCCCAGCAGCCAGCACUGCCCGGCAACGACCACUGAGAGGAGAGGCGUUGGGACAGCAGCAAC
RNAcentral lists this long non-coding RNA (2472 nucleotides) under Triticum aestivum (bread wheat). Its description in RNAcentral is "long non-coding RNA (TAES_LNC018205)". The record is from RNAcentral. Lineage: Eukaryota; Viridiplantae; Streptophyta; Magnoliopsida; Poales; Poaceae.